Molecule: ribosomal RNA, 513 nt
Filed under: Pseudotamlana haliotis
Lineage: Bacteria; Pseudomonadati; Bacteroidota; Flavobacteriia; Flavobacteriales; Flavobacteriaceae
Description: Tamlana haliotis Bacterial large subunit ribosomal RNA
Rfam family: Bacterial large subunit ribosomal RNA
Source: Rfam by way of RNAcentral
UAGUCAGUAGUGGUAGACGCGAAACCGUGUGAUCUACCCAUGGGCAGGUUGAAGCUGUAGUAACAUACAGUGGAGGACCGAACCGGUUGACGUUGAAAAGUCUUCGGAUGACCUGUGGGUAGGGGUGAAAGGCCAAUCAAACUCGGAAAUAGCUCGUACUCCCCGAAAUGCAUUUAGGUGCAGCGUUGAUAUUAGUUUUAUAGAGGUAGAGCUACUGAUUGGAUGCGGGGGCUUCACCGCCUACCAAUUCCUGACAAACUCCGAAUGCUAUAAAAUAUGAUCAGCAGUGAGGGCAUGGGUGCUAAGGUCCAUGUCCGAGAGGGAAAGAACCCAGACCAUCAGCUAAGGUCCCCAAAUGUAUGUUAAGUUGAAAUAACGCGGUUGAACUGCUUUGACAGCUAGGAUGUUGGCUUGGAAGCAGCCAUUCAUUUAAAGAGUGCGUAACAGCUCACUAGUCGAGCGGUUCGGCAUGGAUAAUAAUCGGGCAUAAACAUACUACCGAAGCUAUGGACU